Molecule: ribosomal RNA, 498 nt
Filed under: uncultured Anaplasma sp.
Lineage: Bacteria; Pseudomonadati; Pseudomonadota; Alphaproteobacteria; Rickettsiales; Anaplasmataceae
Description: bacterial SSU rRNA
Rfam family: Bacterial small subunit ribosomal RNA
Source: RNAcentral
UUAGUGGCAGACGGGUGAGUAAUGCAUAGGAAUCUACCUAGUAGUACGGGAUAGCCACUAGAAAUGGUGGGUAAUACUGUAUAAUCCCUGCGGGGGAAAGAUUUAUCGCUAUUAGAUGAGCCUAUGUUAGAUUAGCUAGUUGGUAGGGUAAAGGCCUACCAAGGCAGUGAUCUAUAGCUGGUCUGAGAGGAUGAUCAGCCACACUGGAACUGAGAUACGGUCCAGACUCCUACGGGAGGCAGCAGUGGGGAAUAUUGGACAAUGGGCGCAAGCCUGAUCCAGCUAUGCCGCGUGAGUGAGGAAGGCCUUAGGGUUGUAAAACUCUUUCAGUGGGGAGGAUAAUGACGGUACCCACAGAAGAAGUCCCGGCAAACUCCGUGCCAGCAGCCGCGGUAAUACGGAGGGGGCAAGCGUUGUUCGGAAUUAUUGGGCGUAAAGGGCAUGUAGGCGGUUCGGUAAGUUAAAGGUGAAAUGCCAGGGCUUAACCCUGGAGCUGUU